UGAUUCUCUUUUAUUUGUAGAAAAUUUCCAAAACCAAUAUUGAGAAUCGGAAAAAGUUGAAGAAUCCACAUACUGUUGGCAAAAAAAGCUUUGCUAUUGUCUGCAAUGAUUUAGAAAAAGAAACGGAAACUUCCAAUCCUCUAUCACUUAAGGCAAUCUUCGUGGCUACAAGAAAAAGAAAACCCGGUCGAUCAUACAAGGAUACGGAUGAAGAUACAACUAGCAAAAUUGCUGAGAUGGAGAAUAUUGAAGGGCAACAAAGUGAAGAUGGUAAUGAGUCAGUUAAUGCCUCUGUAUCCGUUAUGGGACCUGAACAUUCAGGACCUUUGAGAUUGUAUGGUCGAGGGGUUACAAAAACUACUUUGAAAGGGAAAGAGGGACAUUUUGAACCCUCUUCAGAUGCAACAAAUGAUCUCGUGCAAAAGAUGAAGAGAGGAUGAUAAGAUUAAUGGAGGAAAAAUUUGAGGAACAAAAGCAACAAUUUGAGAAACAAAAAACCACGAUGAGACAAGAAAUUGUAGAAGAUUUCAUUACAAAACUUCAACGUUCAGGAUUACCAAUUGAUGCUAACAUUUUAGCAACAUUGGUUGAAGCUUCCUCAACACGAGCAGUAGUUGUUCAGCCACUUCAUCAUCCAUCUAAUGGUAGCAACAAUCAAGAAAUGAACGAAGUGGAGAUGAAAGUAGCAGCGAAGACCUGACUUAAGGAGUAUUGGCUGAUCUGCAUCUUCGAAAACUCUAGGAUUGUUUUUGAUUUUUGACUUUUUACAAACUUAAAUGUCUGUUAAAUCUUGAAUUGUUAACCAACUAGUUGGAUAUUUUGGAUUAAGAUUUUGUUUAUGAACAAUUUUCAUUUAUUGUUUAUAUAAAAUUUAGUACAUUAUAUCUAUUA
Molecule: long non-coding RNA, 891 nt
Organism: Lycium ferocissimum
Lineage: Eukaryota; Viridiplantae; Streptophyta; Magnoliopsida; Solanales; Solanaceae
Exons: 4
Source: RefSeq, a predicted model, not a curated record